GACGAACGCUGGCGGCGUGCUUAACACAUGCAAGUCGAACGGAAAGGCCCUGCUUUUGUGGGUUGCUCGAGUGGCGAACGGGUGAGUAACACGUGAGUAACCUGCCCUUGACUUUGGGAUAACUUCAGGAAACUGGGGCUAAUACCGGAUAGGAGCUCCUGCUGCCUGGUGGGGGUUGGAAAGUUUCGGCGGUUGGGGAUGGACUCGCGGCUUAUCAGCUUGUUGGUGGGGUAGUGGCUUACCAAGGCUUUGACGGGUAGCCGGCCUGAGAGGGUGACCGGCCACAUUGGGACUGAGAUACGGCCCAGACUCCUACGGGAGGCAGCAGUGGGGAAUAUUGCACAAUGGGCGGAAGCCUGAUGCAGCAACGCCGCGUGCGGGAUGACGGCCUUCGGGUUGUAAACCGCUUUCGCCUGUGACGAAGCGUGAGUGACGGUAAUGGGUAAAGAAGCACCGGCUAACUACGUG
This 468-nucleotide ribosomal RNA is filed under the name uncultured bacterium. RNAcentral's name for it is "partial 16S ribosomal RNA". It matches the Rfam family "Bacterial small subunit ribosomal RNA", at positions 28 to 507 of the family's 1533-position model. The record is from RNAcentral.